Long non-coding RNA from Phyllopteryx taeniolatus (common seadragon), 1089 nucleotides. RefSeq lists it as uncharacterized. The record is from RefSeq and is a predicted model, not a curated record. The transcript is spliced from 3 exons. NCBI's taxonomy places the organism in Eukaryota, Metazoa, Chordata, Actinopteri, Syngnathiformes, Syngnathidae.
UAACUAUACUUAUAGAUCAUAAAAGCCAUCCUCUUGAUUUUAUGAUCUGUAAAUUGUUAACAUUUCUGGUGAGUACGAUGUAUUUUAUUAAACGUUUUUGUUUUUGCCAUGAUCAGAUAAAUAUUGACUGUGAACUGCUCCAAGUGAUAUUGUAGUGUAGAGGUUUGGAGUUGUUUGGAUCAAGAUAAAGCGUUACGUAUGUUUCUUGCUAGUGAUUACGAGACAUGCCUCUCUCUCUCUCUCUCUCUCUGUAAUGCCUUGCAUUGUUAAAGGCAUUUUUGUAUAUUAUGUUGUAAAAUUGUGGUGAUAUUAAGGAGUGGAUUAGUUCACUUAAAUCCCCACUGAAGACCCAAACUGCUCCACCUGCCACAGACUUUUUGUAAAAACAAAUUUUAUUUUUAUCAAUGGAAAACACGUGCCUUGGCUCAGUAAUGUUUGGGGAACACUGGUCUUGGAUACCUGCUUCUGAUUGGACCCCAGUUCGGCAAAUUCCCUAGUAUGAGUUUGCCCAAGUAUGAGCCCUGGGAUUUAACAAAAUGGCUGCUUCAAACCAAAAUUGCUGGUGUUCUCCAAAUUCUGCGUCAAUUGGUGAAAGUGGUGUUAGGGGGUAAUUGUUUUCUAACAUUUUGGGUUGGCGUGUUUGGAACUCCUAAAAUGUAUACAGACAUUUUUACUAAAAUUGUUACGCUUUCAGGCAUGUUGAGGCCCCCCAAAAGGUCCGCACCCUGAGGCAGUGAUUCUUUCGUGUACUCCUCACAGCAGCUCACAUCCUAAGAAGCUCCUAACUGAAGAUGACUGAGAUGAGACGUCCUCCUGGGACGUGAGCAGCUGCAGCAUUUGGUCGGUGGCCGUGCAGCUGGACGGCUCGUGUUUGCCCACAAACAGCAGCUUCUUGAAGGCGCCCACUGGAACGUCACACAGCACCCUAAAACAAACACAUGCUGCACAAACAAAAUCCCUACCCUUUGCCCAGAUGUUUGCACAAGAUAUCUGCUUUGCAUGGGGGAAAAUUGACCUGCAUCUUCAUAGACCGGAGGUGCCACUUGAUCGUUCUUACUGGCAAACAGUGGCGUGAUGGUGGACGGCCAC